GCUCCGGUCGUCUAGCGGCUAGGACGCCAGAUUCUCGAUCUGGUAACCCGGGUUCGAUUCCCGGUCGGAGUGCCA
Molecule: transfer RNA, 75 nt
Filed under: marine sediment metagenome
Description: tRNA-Glu
Rfam family: tRNA
About the family: Transfer RNA (tRNA) molecules are approximately 80 nucleotides in length. Their secondary structure includes four short double-helical elements and three loops (D, anti-codon, and T loops).
Source: RNAcentral